CAGUUCCUUCAUCCUAGACAUGGAAGGGGGCAUGAUCGGAAAGGGGGUGGAGGUCUCGUCGGAAGUUAGAAAUAUAUGUGCUUGUGAUCUAUAAUGGGGCUUUUGCAGCUGCAACACCUAGUGCGGUGAAUACAUUUAGUCUGAGCAUUUCUCUGCGUCCGUCUGGAUUACUGUACCAGAAAUGAGAACCUAACACAGUACAGCUUGCUGCUCAACAGGAAUUCUCUGAGGAUACCAUAUGUAUAAUUUCCUUCCGUUGUGCCCUGUGAACAAGGAACGUAAACCCCAAAAUGAUGUCCAGGGGAGCUGCACAUUCACCCCAAAAAACACAGAGCUGCACAGUAAAAGGCUGACAGGAGAAAAGGAAUGCCUCUGGCUGGUAAGGACCUGAGCCCUAAGACCAUGCCUCAGGACUACCUGGCCUGAUGACUCCUUGCUGUCCCCAGUCCACCUGGUCAUGCUGCUGGUCCAGUUUCAACUGUUCUGCCUGCGGCUAUGGAACCCUGACCUGUUCACCGGACGUUCUGCCUUGUCCAGGACCUGCUCUUUUCAACUCUCUCUCUCUCCACUUGCUGUCUCUAACUCUGAAUGAUCUGCUAUGAAAAGACAAAUUACAUUUACUCCUGAGGUGCUGACCUGUUGCACCCUCUACAACCACUGUGACUAUUAUUAUUUGACUGGUCUGCUGGUCAUUUGUGAACAUUUGAACAUCUUGGCCAUGUACUGAUAUAAUCUCCAUCCGGCACAGCCAGAAGAGGACUGGCCACCCCUCAGAGCCUGGUUCCUCUCUAGGUUUCUUCCUAGGUUCCUGCCAUUCUAGAGGGUUUUUCCUAGCCACCGUGUUUCUACAUCUGCAUUGCUUGCUGUUUGGGAUUUUAGGCAGGGUUUCUGUAUAGCACUUUGUGACAUUGGCUGAUGAAAAAAGUGCUUUAAAAAUACAUUUGAUUGAUUGACUGAAGCUGGUUGAGAGAAUGCCAAAUGUGUGCAAAACUGUAAUCAAGGCAAAGGGUGGCUACUGAAGAAUAUCAAAUAUAAAAUACAUUUUGAUUUGUUAAA
Molecule: long non-coding RNA, 1056 nt
Organism: Oncorhynchus keta (chum salmon)
Lineage: Eukaryota; Metazoa; Chordata; Actinopteri; Salmoniformes; Salmonidae
Exons: 2
Source: RefSeq, a predicted model, not a curated record